GCCUAGCUGGCUUAGUCAGUAGAGCAUGUGACUCUUGAUCUCAAGAUUGUGGUUCAGGCUCCACUUUGGGUG
RNAcentral lists this transfer RNA (72 nucleotides) under Mustela putorius furo (domestic ferret). It matches the Rfam family "tRNA". From Rfam's summary of the family: Transfer RNA (tRNA) molecules are approximately 80 nucleotides in length. Their secondary structure includes four short double-helical elements and three loops (D, anti-codon, and T loops). The record is from Rfam by way of RNAcentral. Lineage: Eukaryota; Metazoa; Chordata; Mammalia; Carnivora; Mustelidae.